RNAcentral lists this ribosomal RNA (253 nucleotides) under uncultured bacterium. RNAcentral describes it as "partial 16S ribosomal RNA". It matches the Rfam family "Bacterial small subunit ribosomal RNA", at positions 524 to 776 of the family's 1533-position model. The record is from RNAcentral.
UACGUAGGGUGCAAGCGUUAAUCGGAAUUACUGGGCGUAAAGCGUGCGCAGGCGGUUGUGCAAGACAGAUGUGAAAUCCCCGGGCUUAACCUGGGAAUGGCAUUGGUGACUGCACGGCUAGAGUGUGUCAGAGGGGGGUAGAAUUCCACGUGUAGCAGUGAAAUGCGUAGAGAUGUGGAGGAAUACCGAUGGCGAAGGCAGCCCCCUGGGAUAACACUGACGCUCAUGCACGAAAGCGUGGGGAGCAAACAGG